Molecule: transfer RNA, 73 nt
Filed under: Stegodyphus mimosarum
Lineage: Eukaryota; Metazoa; Arthropoda; Arachnida; Araneae; Eresidae
Rfam family: tRNA
About the family: Transfer RNA (tRNA) molecules are approximately 80 nucleotides in length.
Source: Rfam by way of RNAcentral
GCCUUAGUAGUGUAGUGGUCAGCACGCUCGACGUGUAUUUGAGAUUUCCGUGGUUCGAGUCCCGGCGAGGCCA